AUUGAACGCUGGCGGAAUGCUUUACACAUGCAAGUCGAACGGCGGCACGGACUUCGGUCUGGUGGCGAGUGGCGAACGGGUGAGUAAUGUAUCGGAACGUGCCCAGUCGUGGGGGAUAACGUCGUGAAAAUUACGCUAAUACAGCAUACGAUCUAUGGAUGAAAGCGGGGGACCGCAAGACCUCGCGCGAUUGGAGCGGCCGAUAUCAGAUUAGGUAGUUGGUGGGGUAAAGGCCCACCAAGCCAACGAUCUGUAGCUGGUCUGAGAGGACGACCAGCCACACUGGAACUGAGACACGGUCCAGACUCCUACGGGAGGCAGCAGUGGGGAAUUUUGGACAAUGGGCGAAAGCCUGAUCCAGCCAUUCCGCGUGCAGGAUGAAGGCCCUCGGGUUGUAAACUGCUUUUGUACAGAACGAAAAGGUUUCUACUAAUACUAGGAGCUCAUGACGGUACUGUAAGAAUAAGCACCGGCUAACUACGUGCCAGCCGCCGCCGUAA
This 500-nucleotide ribosomal RNA is filed under the name uncultured bacterium. RNAcentral describes it as "partial 16S ribosomal RNA". It matches the Rfam family "Bacterial small subunit ribosomal RNA", at positions 30 to 523 of the family's 1533-position model. The record is from RNAcentral.